Molecule: ribosomal RNA, 495 nt
Filed under: Veillonella parvula
Lineage: Bacteria; Bacillati; Bacillota; Negativicutes; Veillonellales; Veillonellaceae
Description: bacterial SSU rRNA
Rfam family: Bacterial small subunit ribosomal RNA
Source: RNAcentral
GACGAACGCUGGCGGCGUGCUUAACACAUGCAAGUCGAACGAAGAGCGAUGGAAGCUUGCUUCUAUCAAUCUUAGUGGCGAACGGGUGAGUAACGCGUAAUCAACCUGCCCUUCAGAGGGGGACAACAGUUGGAAACGACUGCUAAUACCGCAUACGAUCUAAACUCGGCAUCGAGGAUAGAUGAAAGGUGGCCUCUACAUGUAAGCUAUCACUGAAGGAGGGGAUUGCGUCUGAUUAGCUAGUUGGAGGGGUAACGGCCCACCAAGGCGAUGAUCAGUAGCCGGUCUGAGAGGAUGAACGGCCACAUUGGGACUGAGACACGGCCCAGACUCCUACGGGAGGCAGCAGUGGGGAAUCUUCCGCAAUGGACGAAAGUCUGACGGAGCAACGCCGCGUGAGUGAUGACGGCCUUCGGGUUGUAAAGCUCUGUUAAUCGGGACGAAAGGCCUUCUUGCGAACAGUUAGAAGGAUUGACGGUACCGGAAUAGAAAGCC